AUGAUGAACUACACGGUAGAGUUCAGCCGAGGAAGAAUCAGUGGAGAUCCUUGUUUUCAAGUAGCAGGGAUAGAGGGACAGAAAAGAUAUAUUUGUCGCGGCGCUGCAAGUGUUGCCCCCCUCCUCCCCAAGGGCAAGGUGAAGGAAGGUGCCUGUGUGGUUCUUCUGCAGUUCGCAGCGAGGAUUGCUGUGUCCAACCUGCACAAGAAUGCCAAGAAGUCCUUCUCGGAGACGAUUAAGGACAUGUACCUGCACUACAACGAGAGAUCUGGGCUGCUUCUUUGUGGCUUCCAAACUUGA
This 300-nucleotide ribosomal RNA is filed under the name Triticum aestivum (bread wheat). RNAcentral's name for it is "partial small subunit ribosomal RNA". The record is from RNAcentral. Lineage: Eukaryota; Viridiplantae; Streptophyta; Magnoliopsida; Poales; Poaceae.